This is a long non-coding RNA of Felis catus (domestic cat), 1282 nucleotides long. RefSeq lists it as uncharacterized. NCBI's taxonomy places the organism in Eukaryota, Metazoa, Chordata, Mammalia, Carnivora, Felidae. The transcript has 2 exons. The record is from RefSeq and is a predicted model, not a curated record.
UGUUCCUACUGUCUCUUGGAUUACUCAUUCUGGAGGGAGCCAGUCACCAUGUUGUGAUGAUACUCCAGUAGCUCUUAGAAGAGAGGUCCGGUUAAUGAGGAACUGUGGCCUCCUGUUGACAGUCAAUACCAGCUUGCCAGCCAUGAUUGGAGGAGUGAAUGGGAAAAUUAUGUUACUCAAAGCCCGUAAUUGCUGUGUCAUUGAUGUUGGAAGCAUCCACUGUUGUUGUUGGAACGACAGUUCUGCUACUUGGUAGAACGCUAAGAUACCACCCCUCUACCGAUACUGCUGGAAGUCCACAGACACACUCCACCGUUGCCCACCAUCACCGAUUCUGCCGCAGCCUGAGCCCAUAAGAGCUAUGCUGCUGAAGCACUGAGGUGUCUGCUCCUGCUGCCAUAUUGCCCUACCACAGCCACAGCAGGCAGACACGAUGCUGCUGACGUUGCUGGACUGUCUGCUGCCACUGCACUUCACGGAACCCUCUACCCAAGCAGGACCUCAGGAGCUCAUUCUUCUUCCGAGGAAUCACCAACAUAGGAGUAUCUGCUUCUUUUUUCCUGUAUCUUCCUUUUUCCUACUUUCCAAUAUCCCUCUAGUGUCCCCCACUGGAAGAAACUAACCAAAGUCAGCUGGCCAGGAAUUCUGAGAACUGUGGUUUGUAGGCUUUUAACCUCUCCUGAUAAAGAGGAAAGCACAGAAGGGACAGAAUGUUGCUGAGAUCCAACAAGACAUCAGAACAACCUGCCAUGUAUCUCUUACCGGAUAGGAAAUAAGUCCAUUUGUGAGAACUGUCCAGGUAUCAAAUGAUCACAAGACUCUCUUUUUCAUUCUUUCUUUAGCUGACCAGAGGAAGAAUAAUAGAAAAUCUUAGGAAUAAGGCCAAUACAUUUGGGAUUUUGCAGUGUGAGUUCAUCAGAAUUUAGGUUUUAGAGAUUUUACCAUGACGGUGAAUAUUUUUUAGUUGGAGUUUUCCAGCAUAGCACAUGGUGGUUACUUCCUUGAGGACUCACUAUCUGCAACUUAUCAAAUUAGUUCAGCCCAGGAAAUUUCCUUCUCCCCUGAACUCUUACCAUACCUAUUUAGCAUCUAAAAUACACUAUUUGGGAAAUAUUUGCUAUGCCUUCUGGAAAACUGGAUCCCAUGUUUUAUGACUUUUUAAGAUCUAAUACCCAACAAAGGUCCUUAAACAUGGUAGUCAUGUGAUAAAUGUUUGAAAGAAUGAUAUUACAAAACAAAUACAACUUAACUAAGGAAUUUAAAUAAAGAAAAAAUUGGAAUA